This 89-nucleotide unclassified non-coding RNA is filed under the name Pseudomonas moraviensis. Lineage: Bacteria; Pseudomonadati; Pseudomonadota; Gammaproteobacteria; Pseudomonadales; Pseudomonadaceae. The record is from RNAcentral.
UGUAGGAGUGAGCCUGCUCGCGAUGGCGGUGUGUCAGUCGACUUAUUCAUUACUGACACACUGCUAUCGCGAGCAGGCUCACUCCUACA